Long non-coding RNA from Perognathus longimembris pacificus (Pacific pocket mouse), 681 nucleotides. RefSeq lists it as uncharacterized. The record is from RefSeq and is a predicted model, not a curated record. Lineage: Eukaryota; Metazoa; Chordata; Mammalia; Rodentia; Heteromyidae. The transcript is spliced from 3 exons.
CACACACACACACACACACACACACACACACACGAAAAUGGGGGAAAGUACUAUAAUUGUCAUUUGAGAACUUAUGCUUACUAAUAUAGAGGAAUACUCAGUUUGAAGGAGUCCAUUGAUGUCAAUCAAGUCAAAAGAAGGACAAGAAAAGGCUGACAUAGAACCUGAAGUUAAGGUAGACAUUUCUGGAACUUGGGACAGGAGCCCAGGAGAAAUGCUGUCAUAUCUAAUCAGUCCUUUUGUAGCUCCUGACAUGUUAAAAUUGUUCUUGACAUGUUAAAAUUGUAUGUGUGGCCCUGUCGGCUGUUAACAGAGUGUAACAUUCACAUAUAAGAUAAAUAUGAAUAUGGUUACACUGUUUUCUUUUAUACAAAUCCCAUGAUUGAUUUUCUGUGAAAAAACGUUUUGAAAACAAGUUUGGGCUAGUGGUAUGGCUCAAGUGGUAGACUACCUGCUUAGCAAGGAUAAAGCCCUGAGUUCAUACUCCAGUACCACCAAAAAAGAACAAAAUAAAACAAAAACAAAAACCCUGAUAAGCAAGUCACUAUACUGGCAAUUUCAAUUUAUGCUUAGUGCUGUUAAUCUAGUUGGGCAUUUAAAUACUACCCAAUAGUAUUUGCUGCCAUUUUCCAGUAGUUGGUGGUGGAGGUGUGUUGUGUGUGUGUGUGUUUUUGAACUUAG